RNAcentral lists this small nuclear RNA (107 nucleotides) under Moschus moschiferus (Siberian musk deer). The record is from RNAcentral. Lineage: Eukaryota; Metazoa; Chordata; Mammalia; Artiodactyla; Moschidae.
GUGCUCACUUGGGCAGCACAUUUACUGAAAUUGGAACAAUACAGAGAAAAUUAGCAUGGCUCCUGCACAAGGAUGACAUGGAAAUUCAUGAAGCAUUCCAUCUUUUU